ACACGGUCCAGACUCCUACGGGAGGCAGCAGUGGGGAAUAUUGGACAAUGGGCGCAAGCCUGAUCCAGCCAUACCGCGUGGGUGAAGAAGGCCUUCGGGUUGUAAAGCCCUUUUGUUGGGAAAGAAAAGCAGUCGAUUAAUACUCGGUUGUUCUGACGGUACCCAAAGAAUAAGCACCGGCUAACUUCGUGCCAGCAGCCGCGGUAAUACGAAGGGUGCAAGCGUUACUCGGAAUUACUGGGCGUAAAGCGUGCGUAGGUGGUUGUUUAAGUCUGUUGUGAAAGCCCUGGGCUCAACCUGGGAAUUGCAGUGGAUACUGGGCGACUAGAGUGUGGUAGAGGGUAGUGGAAUUCCCGGUGUAGCAGUGAAAUGCGUAGAGAUCGGGAGGAACAUCCAUGGCGAAGGCAGCUACCUGGAC
Molecule: ribosomal RNA, 418 nt
Filed under: Stenotrophomonas sp.
Lineage: Bacteria; Pseudomonadati; Pseudomonadota; Gammaproteobacteria; Lysobacterales; Lysobacteraceae
Description: bacterial SSU rRNA
Rfam family: Bacterial small subunit ribosomal RNA
Source: RNAcentral